This 76-nucleotide transfer RNA is filed under the name Ahrensia sp. RNAcentral's name for it is "tRNA-Ala". It matches the Rfam family "tRNA". Rfam says of the family: Transfer RNA (tRNA) molecules are approximately 80 nucleotides in length. The record is from RNAcentral. RNAcentral also lists the same sequence under 1 other name. Lineage: Bacteria; Pseudomonadati; Pseudomonadota; Alphaproteobacteria; Hyphomicrobiales; Ahrensiaceae.
GGGGCUAUAGCUCAGUCGGGAGAGCGCUUGCAUGGCAUGCAAGAGGUCGCCGGUUCGAUUCCGGCUAGCUCCACCA